RNAcentral lists this ribosomal RNA (610 nucleotides) under Isoplia lasiosoma. RNAcentral's name for it is "partial 16S large subunit ribosomal RNA". It matches the Rfam family "Bacterial large subunit ribosomal RNA", at positions 1844 to 2740 of the family's 2925-position model. The record is from RNAcentral. Lineage: Eukaryota; Metazoa; Arthropoda; Insecta; Coleoptera; Scarabaeidae.
UUUAAAGUCUAACCUGCCCAAUGAGUAAUUGAAUGGCCGCGGUAAUUUGACCGUGCAAAGGUAGCAUAAUCAUUAGUUUUUUAAUUGAAAGCUGGAAUGAAUGGUUGGACGAGAAAAUGACUGUCUCAAGUUAAGUUAAUAUAGAAUUUUAUUUAUAAGUAAAAAAGCUUAUAUGUAUUUAAAAGACGAGAAGACCCUAUAGAGUUUUAUAUUAAUUUAUUAUUAGUAUUUUUAGUAUAUUGUAAUAUUGAUAUUAAAAAUUUAUUUUGUUGGGGUGAUGGGAAAAUUAAGUUAACUUUUUUUUUAUAUUUACAUUGAUUUAUGAGUUAUUGAUCCAUUAAUUAUGAUUAUAAGAUUAAAUUACCUUAGGGAUAACAGCGUAAUUUUUUUUAGAGUUCUUAUCAAAGAAAGAGUUUGCGACCUCGAUGUUGGAUUAAAAUUAACUUUUGGUGUAGGUGCUAAAAGGUUAGGUCUGUUCGACCUUUAAAAUUUUACAUGAUCUGAGUUUAAACCGGCGUGAGCCAGGUUGGUUUCUAUCUUUAAAUAGAUUAGAUGUUUUAGUACGAAAGGAUUAGACAUUUAUAAAAUUUAUAAUAUUUGAAUAUUAAUG